This 526-nucleotide long non-coding RNA is filed under the name Equus asinus (donkey). RNAcentral describes it as "lncRNA (ENSEASG00005024664.1)". Lineage: Eukaryota; Metazoa; Chordata; Mammalia; Perissodactyla; Equidae. The record is from RNAcentral.
CUCACACAGAAUGACACUAGAAGGGAGGAAUGACCUCCCCUACGUGACCUCACAGGUGGCCAACAUCAGCGAGAAAUAUGAAACGAUGGACGUGAGAACCUACAGGGAGCACAGGUGAAACACUGCAGGUUCACAGAAACGUGUGACGUUGAAAGAGACCGAGUUCCCACAAGGGCACAUCCAACUGUCUAGCUACCUAUCAGCCAAGGCCAGUGCUUGGAGAAAUCGGGGAGCAGAUGUUUUUCUUCAGGACCGUGCCACCUGCAAAUAUUUCCUCCUUCAUCAAUUUCAGAUGCAAUCCAGAGAUAAAAGAGGAAUUCGCUUAAGGCAGAGUUGGGAAAAACCCAGAACUUCAGACUCAGUCUGGUGGUAUUCGCUCAACACUAUGCUUCUGCCCACAGAUGAAGAAAUGAAGGUUCAGGAAAACAAACUGCUGUGCCCCUUGUAGGACUAUGUCUUUAGUGUGUGUGUGUCUGUGUGUGUGUGUGUAUAAAGGGGAGGGUGGAAGAAAGUGGCUACAACAAAA